AAACAUCGCCUCCUGUAGUAUAUAGGAGGUCCAGCCUGCCCAGUGACCAAGUUAAACGGCCGCGGUACCCUAACCGUGCGAAGGUAGCGCAAUCACUUGUUCUUUAAAUGAGGACUAGUAUGAAUGGCAUCACGAGGGUUACACUGUCUCCCACCUCUAAUCAGUGAAACUGAUCUCCCCGUGAAGAAGCGGGGAUAAAACUAUAAGACGAGAAGACCCCAUGGAGCUUCAAACCCGGCAUCAACCAUUAACAUUAAUACCACAUUAAAUAAAUGGACCUGACUGCUGGUUUUAGGUUGGGGUGACCGCGGAGCAUAACAAAACCUCCAUGAUGAACGACCUCCUCUCUAAUCCGAGAGCCACCACUCAAAGAAUCAAAAAAUUGACAUUUAUUGACCCAAACUAUUUUGAUCAACGAACCAAGUUACCCUGGGGAUAACAGCGCAAUCCAUUUCAAGAGCCCCUAUCGACAAAUGGGUUUACGACCUCGAUGUUGGAUCAGGGUAUCCUAGUGGUGCAGCCGCUACUAAAG
Molecule: ribosomal RNA, 532 nt
Filed under: Gastrophryne olivacea (western narrow-mouthed toad)
Lineage: Eukaryota; Metazoa; Chordata; Amphibia; Anura; Microhylidae
Description: partial 16S ribosomal RNA
Rfam family: Bacterial large subunit ribosomal RNA
Source: RNAcentral